RNAcentral lists this ribosomal RNA (497 nucleotides) under uncultured bacterium. RNAcentral's name for it is "partial 16S ribosomal RNA". It matches the Rfam family "Bacterial small subunit ribosomal RNA", at positions 28 to 507 of the family's 1533-position model. The record is from RNAcentral.
GAUGAACGCUGGCGGCGUGCCUAAUACAUGCAAGUCGAGCGAACAGACGAGGAGCUUGCUCCUUUGACGUUAGCGGCGGACGGGUGAGUAACACGUAGGUAACCUACCUAUAAGACUGGGAUAACUUCGGGAAACCGGAGCUAAUACCGGAUAAUAUUUUGAACCGCAUGGUUCGAUAGUGAAAGACGGCUUUGCUGUCACUUAUAGAUGGAUCUGCGCCGUAUUAGCUAGUUGGUAAGGUAACGGCUUACCAAGGCAACGAUACGUAGCCGACCUGAGAGGGUGAUCGGCCACACUGGAACUGAGACACGGUCCAGACUCCUACGGGAGGCAGCAGUAGGGAAUCUUCCGCAAAGGGCGAAAGCCUGACGGAGCAACGCCGCGUGAGUGAUGAAGGUCUUCGGAUCGUAAAACUCUGUUAUUAGGGAAGAACAAACGUGUAAGUAACUGUGCACGUCUUGACGGUACCUAAUCAGAAAGCCACGGCUAACUACGUG